RNAcentral lists this transfer RNA (79 nucleotides) under Thermoleophilia bacterium. Its description in RNAcentral is "tRNA-Ala". The record is from RNAcentral. Lineage: Bacteria; Bacillati; Actinomycetota; Thermoleophilia.
GGAGAUCACGGACCGAGCCGGAAAGCCCGGAUUCUGGAUCGCACCCAGGAGGUCGGCGGUUCGAGUCCGCCUAGCUCCA